RNAcentral lists this ribosomal RNA (253 nucleotides) under uncultured bacterium. RNAcentral describes it as "partial 16S ribosomal RNA". It matches the Rfam family "Bacterial small subunit ribosomal RNA", at positions 524 to 776 of the family's 1533-position model. The record is from RNAcentral.
UACAUAGGGGGCAAGCGUUAUCCGGAAUUACUGGGUGUAAAGGGUGCGUAGGCGGCAAUACAAGUCAGAUGUGAAAGGCAUGAGCUUAACUCAUGGAAUGCAUUUGAAACUGUAUAGCUAGAGUACAGGAGAGGAAAGUAGAAUUCCUAGUGUAGCAGUGAAAUGCGUAGAUAUUAGGAGGAAUACCAGUGGCGAAGGCGACUUUCUGGACUGAAACUGACGCUGAGGCACGAAAGCGUGGGGAGCAAACAGG